UCGUGUUGGUCGUACUGCUCGAGCUGGGCGCGAAGGAUAUGCUGUUACAUUUCUCACAGAUGAUGAUAGAUCUCUAUUAAAGGCCAUUGUUGAGUUGUUUGGUACCACAUGCAACUUGCAGGAUGUUGUUUGAGUUGCUUGUUCUAACAGGAGCUCAAGUGGGGAUGGACUGGACUACUAUACUGAAGAAGAGGAAUGAAUUCAGGGUGGCAUUUGUUGAAUUUGAUGCAAAGUCUGUCUCCAAGUUCACAGAGAAGCAGAUGGUUUCCAUCAGUGUGGAACUGAAGCUGGAUUUAGGAAGAGUUCGAGGAAUAUCACUAUCUAUUUUGAAACAGAAUUAGUGUUAAUUUUGA
This is a long non-coding RNA of Zingiber officinale, 353 nucleotides long. RefSeq lists it as uncharacterized. The transcript is spliced from 3 exons. The record is from RefSeq and is a predicted model, not a curated record. Lineage: Eukaryota; Viridiplantae; Streptophyta; Magnoliopsida; Zingiberales; Zingiberaceae.